Molecule: ribosomal RNA, 484 nt
Filed under: uncultured bacterium
Lineage: Bacteria
Description: partial 16S ribosomal RNA
Rfam family: Bacterial small subunit ribosomal RNA
Source: RNAcentral
AGUGAACGCUGGCGGCAGGCCUAACACAUGCAAGUCGAGCGGCAGCGCGGGGGCAACCCUGGCGGCGAGCGGCGGACGGGUGAGGAAUUCGUCGGAAUCUGCCUUUUUGUGGGGGAUAACGUAGGGAAACUUACGCUAAUACCGCAUACGUCCUACGGGAGAAAGUGGGGGACCGCAAGGCCUCACGCAGAAAGAUGAGCCGACGACCGAUUAGCUAGUUGGUGGGGUAAAGGCCCACCAAGGCGACGAUCGGUAGCUGGUCUGAGAGGAUGAUCAGCCACACUGGGACUGAGACACGGACCAGACUCCUACGGGAGGCAGCAGUGGGGAAUAUUGGACAAUGGGCGCAAGCCUGAUCCAGCCAUGCCGCGUGUGUGAAGAAGGCCUUCGGGUUGUAAAGCACUUUUGUCCGGAAAGAAAUCCCUGGAGCUAAUACCUUCGGGGGAUGACGGUACCGGAAGAAUAAGCACCGGCUAACUUCGUG